RNAcentral lists this ribosomal RNA (505 nucleotides) under uncultured bacterium. RNAcentral describes it as "partial 16S ribosomal RNA". It matches the Rfam family "Bacterial small subunit ribosomal RNA", at positions 28 to 507 of the family's 1533-position model. The record is from RNAcentral.
GACGAACGCUGGCGGCGUGCCUAAUACAUGCAAGUAGAACGCACAGUUUAUACCGUAGCUUGCUACACCAUAGACUGUGAGUUGCGAACGGGUGAGUAACGCGUAGGUAACCUGCCUGGUAGCGGGGGAUAACUAUUGGAAACGAUAGCUAAUACCGCAUAAUAUUGAUUAUUGCAUGAUAAUUGAUUGAAAGAUGCUAUUGCAUCACUACCAGAUGGACCUGCGUUGUAUUAGCUAGUAGGUGAGGUAACGGCUCACCUAGGCGACGAUACAUAGCCGACCUGAGAGGGUGAUCGGCCACACUGGGACUGAGACACGGCCCAGACUCCUACGGGAGGCAGCAGUAGGGAAUCUUCGGCAAUGGACGAAAGUCUGACCGAGCAGCGCCGCGUGAGUGAAGAAGGUUUUCGGAUCGUAAAGCUCUGUUGUAAGAGAAGAACGGGUGUGAGAGUGGAAAGUUCACACUGUGACGGUAGCUUACCAGAAAGGGACGGCUAACUACGUG